AUGAGAUGGGAUCCCCCAGAUCAUGAGAACAACUUCCAUGCGCAUCACUCUUGUAACAGCUUGUGCUUGCUUGAGCCACGGUUUGACGAACAGCUUGAAGAAUCCAUGCUCGACGGUGCCCACCACCAAUGCCUUGUUGCGCAGCUCCGGUGUGGCGAAGACUACCAGAAAGUCCUUAGGGUAGAAUUUAUGAACCGAGUACCGACGGCGAGGGAUAUGCAGUUCCUCCGACAAGGCUUCCGCCACCUCUCGGCACGACAUCGUAGGGCGGGUGCCUCCCACGUAGGCCACCACCGCCAGCCUCAAUCGCUGCUCGAGGUCCUCCAUCUCCAGCGUCCUCGCAGCACGCAGAUACCACCAGUAGCACCAGCUGCAGCCGAUGCCUGCCCGAACCCCACAGGUUCGAUGUCGACCAGCACUGGCGAGGACCUCUCCAGAGGAGCGGCCUACCUAGUCACCAGCGACAGCCUGUUCACAGGUCCAGCCUGCAUUGAUGGCUGCGAAGACCGCACUACCUUGGCAACAACAUCCCGCCAGAGAUCUUCUUCCGACCUUGGGCUCCUUGGCCGCUUGCUCUCCAUAGAUAUGUGGCCCUCUAGACCACACCGGAUGCAAAGCAUGGGAAACUUGCAGUCUUCCCGGCAGUGUCCCUCCCGAAAGCACUUGAAGCAGAGACCAAACAGGUCCGCCGAGAUCUCUCUCCUCUCCGGGGACGAAGCCGGCGAAUGCGACCGGGCACCUUCCGCCGCCGCCUACUUCCAUAGCGCCUUCCUUUUGCGCCAUAAGGCCUUGCACGAAGGCCUUGGCUUGCGCCAUGGCACGGCGGAGCCCGCAGCUGGCCCGGGGUUGGCCCCAGCCGGAGCACCUCCAGCUCCGGUUGAAGAACCCGCAGAUCCAGACGAGCCAGACAACCCCAGGCCAGAGACGAUGGGCUGUAGCCUGGAGGACACUGAAGCAGGGCUGGUGGAUCCAGAGGCCAUGGAGAAACUUACCCCAAGCAACGUCGAAAGAAGGAAGCACCGGGGCCUGGGUGGCCGCCGGUGA
Molecule: ribosomal RNA, 1044 nt
Filed under: Triticum aestivum (bread wheat)
Lineage: Eukaryota; Viridiplantae; Streptophyta; Magnoliopsida; Poales; Poaceae
Description: partial small subunit ribosomal RNA
Source: RNAcentral